AGAGAUCAAGGGGCUGGCCGAAUGGUUCAAGCUAAUUCCAAAGAUCCAUUACAAGGAAUUGGAGGUCCAAUGACUAGAGCAAGGGCAAAACAAAUGAAAGAAGCUUUAUAUGGACUAGUCAUGGAAAUUCAAGAGAAGGAGGCUGCUCUAGAAGACUCUAAGGCUUCACCAAGAUUGAUCACUUAUCUUUACAUAGUAAAUGCUGAAGAACAAAG
Molecule: long non-coding RNA, 215 nt
Filed under: Phoenix dactylifera (date palm)
Lineage: Eukaryota; Viridiplantae; Streptophyta; Magnoliopsida; Arecales; Arecaceae
Description: long non-coding RNA (PDAC_LNC015538)
Source: RNAcentral